GUCUUUUUAGAAAUAAAUAAAAAGUCUAACCUGCCCACUGAAAAUAAUUGAAGGGCCGCGGUAUUUUGACCGUGCAAAGGUAGCAUAAUCAUUAGUCUUUUAAUUGGAGGCUCGUAUGAAUGGUUGAAUGAAGUAUAAGCUGUAUCAUAAAAAUUUAAAAUUGAAUUUUAUUUUUUAGUUAAAACGCUAAAAUAAAAUUAAAAGACGAGAAGACCCUAUAAAGCUUUACAAUUAUAAUCUAUUAUUUAUAAAGAAUUAUUUAAAUUUUAUUUUGAUAAUUGUUUUGUUGGGGUGACAAUAAGACUUAAAAAACUCUUAAACUUUUUAUACAUUAAUUUAUGAUUUAUUGAUCCGAUUUUAUCGAUUAAAAAUUUAAGUUACUUUAGGGAUAACAGCGUAAUUUUUUUAGAGAGUUCAUAUCGAUAAAAAAGAUUGCGACCUCGAUGUUGGACUAAGAAUUAUUUUAGGUGUAGAAGUUUAAAAUUUAGGUCUGUUCGACCUUUUAAUUCUU
RNAcentral lists this ribosomal RNA (511 nucleotides) under Diamesa hamaticornis. RNAcentral's name for it is "partial large subunit ribosomal RNA". It matches the Rfam family "Bacterial large subunit ribosomal RNA", at positions 1829 to 2597 of the family's 2925-position model. The record is from RNAcentral. Lineage: Eukaryota; Metazoa; Arthropoda; Insecta; Diptera; Chironomidae.